Molecule: unclassified non-coding RNA, 2637 nt
Filed under: Ooceraea biroi (clonal raider ant)
Lineage: Eukaryota; Metazoa; Arthropoda; Insecta; Hymenoptera; Formicidae
Description: proteoglycan 4, transcript variant X3
Source: RNAcentral
AAGAAAAAGAUGAAAUUCAAAAAGUGCGGGGCUAACUUCACACACGUUCCGGAAUCGCUUUCGGCGCGGCCGCUGGAUUGUCCUCGUCGGUAAAGUAGGAGCAUCGCAUCACCGUGUUCCGCUCGCGGUCGCGGGGCGGCAGGGGAGGGCGCCAGCGGGAGGAAGGAGUGGGGGGGAGAUUAUCUCGCGGUCAACUCGCGCGGUCAUCUUCACUCGUGUUGUGGCGCCGAGCAAGUGUGCACGGUCGUUCCUGAUUCCAUCCCGGUCAGUGCCGGCGCAAGUGGUGGGUGUGUACGUGGGAUCUUCUCGUUCUCGGUCGAGGCUAGUGCGGCACGCUCAGAGGAAGGAACGGCCCUCGAGUUACCUUCGCCGUAGGCACCAGUCAUGGGCGGAUAUGCAUGGGUUACAUUGGCUACGAACGAUGCCUACUCCUUGGGUGCACUGGUCCUGGCGCAUUCUCUACGCCGGGUCGGCACCAAGUACGAGCUGGCGUGUCUGGUCACUCCCGGAGUCACGGCAGUAAUGAGAGAAAAACUGGCGGCAGUAUUUUCGUUCGUACAGGAAGUUAACGUCCUCGAUUCCAAGGAUGAGGCGAACCUGGCCCUGUUGGCCAGACCCGAACUGGGCAUCACCUUUACCAAGUUGCAUUGUUGGCGGUUGACGCAGUACGAGAAAUGCGUAUUCGUUGACGCGGACACUCUUGUCGUGCGAAAUUGCGAUGAGUUAUUCGAGCGCGAGGAACUGUCUGCCGCGCCCGAUGUCGGCUGGCCUGACUGCUUUAAUUCCGGCGUAUUCGUAUUCAGACCAUCUCAACAAACGUUCGCAUCAAUCACCGCUUUCGCAGCCGCUAAGGGCUCGUUCGAUGGCGGCGAUCAGGGUUUGUUGAACAUGUACUUCAGCGACUGGGCCACUAAAGACAUCUCCAAGCAUCUACCGUUCAUUUACAACAUGUGCUCCACCGCGACGUACUCUUAUCUUCCUGCGUUUAAACAAUUCGGCGAGGACGUGCGAAUAAUACACUUCAUCGGCGUAACGAAACCGUGGUUACAGUAUUUCGAUACGUUAACCGGUAUCGUCCAACCACCGCCGGGAUCCGCGCAUUUACAACCGUUGUUGCAGCUGUGGUGGAACAUAUUCUGCGAGCACGUGCAUCCUCAGCUGUCGACUUCCAUGGCCACCAGCACAUUGGCUCCAAUUUGGCACGAAUUUACUCCCCCACCCUUCCGAUCCGUUCCCAAGAACUCCAUUUACUCCGACGAGACGAUUCGCGGUUCGUACGACGUUUUCUCGCAAAUACCGGAUUUCUCCGACUUUAAAGACCCUUGGGAGAACUAUUGCCCGCAGAACGAUUCGUUUCUGAUCGGUAACGUCGCGUCGGAUGACAAGAGCGGAAAUUGUUAUUGCGGAGCCGGACGCGAGCCGGAAUUGAGCCUCUCUUCCCAACACGAUCAGCAAUUUUAUUACUCGCAAUCGUACAGCGAGCAGCAUUCUUCGUUUGCACCCGCGCAAAAUCACAGCCAGCAACAAUAUGUUAUGCAUAACGACUACAAUCAACAGACAACUUCCUAUUCCGGAGAGAACCAUAGUUACGGACAUUCCGUACAGCACACUCAACAUCAUCACUGGCAGCAACAAGGUAGUGAACAGAGACAUCACGACGAGCAGCACGAACACAAGCAUAAUGAACAGAUACAUCAACCCCAGCACGAACAGAGACAUCAUCAUGAACAACAUGAUCAUUAUAACGAGCAGAGGCAAGAUCAGCACUUCGGGCAAGUCCAGCACCAUGAUUAUCACAGGGGCGAAGCGAACCAUCAGCGCCAAUCGGCUCGCGAGCAUUAUACCGAGUCUCAUUCGCAACCUCCCGAAGUGAGGCACGAGGAUCACGCGCGGCACCAUGCUAAUGAUAACCGAGCUAGUCAUCAAAGCGCAAACUAUCCGCAUCACGCCAUUUCGCAAAGUAGUCACGUUAAGAGCGGUGAGCAAACGUUGGGAGCCGCGAAUACGGACACGCGAAUACGGAGAAUCGACUCCCUGUUUCCUACUCCCGCACCCUGUACAGAUCUCCACAAUGUAGCCACGCGAUCCGACCCGAACGUAACGGAACAUCUAGACAGUGCAAAUGCCGGUAUCGCUGGUGCCUUGGCUCAAAUAACGCUGGGCGAAGCGAGGAGCGCCGCGCAGGUAGCCCUGGAGGAGCACCUGAGGAAGCAGAGCUGGGAGCAGGGACAGAUCGACUACAUGGGUCGCGACAGCUUCGACAAUAUAUGGAAGAAGAUCUGCGAGACGCUUUCCCUUGCACCGCAACGUCAGCCAACGCCGCCCAAAGAGGAGGAUACCGCUACAUCCAAGGAAAGCACUGCUCUUGCUGAAUCUGCUCCAGCUGAAUCUGCGCCUGCAGACGUUGAAGUGACUAAACCAGCCGGAACAGAGGACAGCAACUAACAGAUCCUGGCGUCAUAGCAUUGCUGCGUCUUGUAUUGUCGUUUUGCUUUAAUGGGUUGAGGCGGAUAAGGACCCAACGCAGCCUUUAAUUUGCCAACUUCCUGAGGAGAAGCUUCCAGCAGCGCAAAUCACCGAGCAAAAAGCUUCCGAGGAAAGUAUCGCGUCACAAGAAGCCACCGCUAAAGUAUCCAG